GGAGGAUGCGAGCGUUAUCCGGAUUUAUUGGGUUUAAAGGGUGCGCAGGCGGAGGCACAAGUCAGCGGUAAAAUCGCGGGUCUCAACCCCGCUCCGCCGUUGAAACUGUGUCCCUUGAGUGCGCGAAGGGUAGGCGGAAUGCGUGGUGUAGCGGUGAAAUGCAUAGAUAUCACGCAGAACUCCGAUCGCGAAGGCAGCCUACCGGCGCGCGACUGACGCUCAUGCACGAAAGCGUGGGUAUCGAA
Molecule: ribosomal RNA, 245 nt
Filed under: uncultured bacterium
Lineage: Bacteria
Description: partial 16S ribosomal RNA
Rfam family: Bacterial small subunit ribosomal RNA
Source: RNAcentral